This 660-nucleotide ribosomal RNA is filed under the name uncultured bacterium. RNAcentral's name for it is "bacterial SSU rRNA". It matches the Rfam family "Bacterial small subunit ribosomal RNA", at positions 8 to 647 of the family's 1533-position model. The record is from RNAcentral.
AGAGUUUGAUCAUGGCUCACACUCUACGCUGGCGGCGUGCCUAACACAUGCAAGUCGAACGCGAAAGCCCCGAAAGGGGCAAGUAGAGUGGCAAACGGGUGAGUAACACGUGGGUGACCUGCCUUCGAGCGGGGGAUAACGUCCCGAAAGGGACGCUAAUACCGCAUAAUAUCCUGCCUUUGAAGAGGUGGAGAUCAAAGCUGGGGAUCGCAAGACCCGGCACUUGAAGAGGGGCCCGCGUCUGAUUAGCUAGUUGGUGGGGUAACGGCCUACCAAGGCAACGAUCAGUAUCCGGCCUGAGAGGGCGGACGGACACACUGGGACUGAGACACGGCCCAGACUCCUACGGGAGGCAGCAGUGGGGAAUUGUUCGCAAUGGGCGCAAGCCUGACGACGCAACGCCGCGUGGAGGAUGAAGAUUUUCGGAUCGUAAACUCCUGUCGAAUGGGACGAACAGAUUGCGGGUUAACAGCCCGUAGUCCUGACGGUACCGUUAAAGGAAACCCCGGCUAACUCCGUGCCAGCAGCCGCGGUAAUACGGGGGGGGUAAGCGUUGUUCGGAAUUACUGGGCGUAAAGGGCUCGUAAGCGGCCAACUAAGUCAUACGUGAAAUCCCUCAACUUAACUGGGGAACUGCGUGUGAUACUGGAUGGCUUGGAU